This 300-nucleotide long non-coding RNA is filed under the name Mytilus galloprovincialis (Mediterranean mussel). The record is from RNAcentral. Lineage: Eukaryota; Metazoa; Mollusca; Bivalvia; Mytilida; Mytilidae.
GCACGUGUUGGAAUGGAUUUGUGUAAUCGAAUAGUAAUUCCGAAGCUAGUAAAGUCACCAUAGAGGUCAGAAUUGUAAACCUGUAAGUCUGACAAUACAGUAUAACAGUAAACACUAAAAGAUAAAACACUAUGUAUUAUGGGGGAGGUGUUUCAUUAAUAGCCAAAGAUGUAAUUUGUAACACAUAUAUUAAAGAUGAUUGUGUUUAACUAUUAUAUUGUGAGAUUUAAUGAAAAAAAAAAUAGACAAUGAAACCAAAAUACCAAAUUAAAAACCACAGAAAAAUACUAAUGCCAAAAC